GCUGCUUCUCAUUCAGGACCAAUCAUGCCCAAUGCAGCAGCCCGGGCUGCCUACACCACAUCAGGUGCUGCAUCUUCUGGAGGCAUGUCUGGUUCAGCUUCAUUAAAGAAAUCUAAUUCUGGACCCUUAAAUAGACAUGGAGAUCCUGUAAAAAAGUCAUCUGGCCCUCAGUCUGGUGGAGUAACACCUUCUGGGCGCCAAAACUCUGGUCCCCUUCCUCCUGUUCUUCCUGCAACUGGNNNNNNNNNNNNCGGGCCAAUUUCUUCAGGUCCCCUAAGUUCUUCUGGGGCACCUCGAAAGGUAUCAGGUCCAUUAGAAUCUAUGGGCUCAAUGAAAAUUCCAGGAUCUGCCAUUGUUCACAAUCAAGCGGUUACUGUACUUAGCCAAGAAGAUGACUUUUCUUUCAGA
Molecule: unclassified non-coding RNA, 408 nt
Filed under: Hevea brasiliensis (rubber tree)
Lineage: Eukaryota; Viridiplantae; Streptophyta; Magnoliopsida; Malpighiales; Euphorbiaceae
Source: RNAcentral